CAGUCGCCACGGUAAAACGGAGGAUCCAAGCGUUAUCCGGAAUCAUUGGGUUUAAAGGGUCCGUAGGCGGUCUUGUAAGUCAGUGGUGAAAGCCCAUCGCUCAACGGUGGAACGGCCAUUGAUACUGCAGGACUUGAAUUAUUGGGAAGUAACUAGAAUAUGUAGUGUAGCGGUGAAAUGCUUAGAGAUUACAUGGAAUACCAAUUGCGAAUGCAGGUUACUACCAAUUGAUUGACGCUGAUGGACGAAAGCGUGGGUAGCGAACAGGAUUAGAUACCCGGGUAGUCCCUGUCUCUUAUAC
Molecule: ribosomal RNA, 301 nt
Filed under: uncultured bacterium
Lineage: Bacteria
Description: partial 16S ribosomal RNA
Rfam family: Bacterial small subunit ribosomal RNA
Source: RNAcentral